This 67-nucleotide transfer RNA is filed under the name Anoplotrupes stercorosus. RNAcentral's name for it is "tRNA-Ser". The record is from RNAcentral. Lineage: Eukaryota; Metazoa; Arthropoda; Insecta; Coleoptera; Geotrupidae.
GAAAUAUAUUAUUUAAAAAUAAGCUUCUAACUUAAUUUUUUAGCAGUGUAAUUCUGUUAAUAUUUCU